Long non-coding RNA from Protopterus annectens (West African lungfish), 784 nucleotides. RefSeq lists it as uncharacterized. Lineage: Eukaryota; Metazoa; Chordata; Ceratodontiformes; Protopteridae. The record is from RefSeq and is a predicted model, not a curated record. The transcript is spliced from 4 exons.
GUCGGGGUUGUUGCUGGUUGUUUACCAACGCGCCAGCCGGCAAGGCACGCGAAUCGGUACUUCUGCGGAAAGGAUACCACUAUUGCCUUAUAUGAAGUCAGCAUUUUCAAGACACAAGACAGAAUUGUGCAUCACAGUUUGAGGAGGAAAGCAGGAGCAGUUGCACAGUGGGAAUAGAGGAGACGAAGAGACAAUGAACGACCAUAUAGACAAGCUGACCUCAUCAACCAUCCAGACCAACGUUCCCAAAAUUUUAAACAAAGUCAAAGACGUGCAGCUUAGGAAUGGUCUCAGACUCCCCAUGUGGAACAUCUCAGGUAAAUCCACUUGACAGAGUACCUGUUUCAAGAGACAUCCUGGGAGAAGGUUAAGUGACAUCAUCUGAUUCAUACAGCAGAAAAACAGAGCCAUCAAACCUAGGACUACUGGAUAAAGCUCUUUAACAGCUCACAGCCUUAAACUUUUGUAUAAAAAGGACAGACAAGACUAAUUUUCACACUGCAAAGAAACUAGAGACAAAACCAUCAUUUUAUGAAUUAAUUUUGUUCCCCUCUUGUGUGAAUAGGACCUAUUUCCCUUUUGGCUAGCAUAAUAUUAGUAUUAGUAAAAAAAUAUUACAUGGAUUGGUUGACCUCAGCAUUGGUAAAGAUGUUCAGACUGCCUUUGAUAAAGCCCAGACAUAAUAUUGUACCUUAUAUAGAAACCACUAUUACAACAGCGGAAAAGAGAAACAACCAGCCAUUGAAUCCACCAAUAAUUUAUUAAAAAUUAAUAAAAACUUGUA